This 429-nucleotide ribosomal RNA is filed under the name bacterium. RNAcentral describes it as "partial 16S ribosomal RNA". It matches the Rfam family "Bacterial small subunit ribosomal RNA", at positions 355 to 776 of the family's 1533-position model. The record is from RNAcentral.
UGGGGAAUCUUCCGCAAUGGACGAAAGUCUGACGGAGCAACGCCGCGUGAGUGAUGACGGCCUUCGGGUUGUAAAGCUCUGUUAAUCGGGACGAAUGGUUCUUGUGCAAAUAGUGCGAGGAUUUGACGGUACCGGAAUAGAAAGCCACGGCUAACUACGUGCCAGCAGCCGCGGUAAUACGUAGGUGGCAAGCGUUGUCCGGAAUUAUUGGGCGUAAAGCGCGCGCAGGCGGAUUGGUCAGUCUGUCUUAAAAGUUCGGGGCUUAACCCCGUGAUGGGAUGGAAACUGCCAAUCUAGAGUAUCGGAGAGGAAAGUGGAAUUCCUAGUGUAGCGGUGAAAUGCGUAGAUAUUAGGAAGAACACCAGUGGCGAAGGCGACUUGCUGGACGAAAACUGACGCUGAGGCGCGAAAGCCAGGGGAGCGAACGGG